Long non-coding RNA from Ananas comosus (pineapple), 754 nucleotides. RefSeq lists it as uncharacterized. The transcript has 2 exons. The record is from RefSeq and is a predicted model, not a curated record. NCBI's taxonomy places the organism in Eukaryota, Viridiplantae, Streptophyta, Magnoliopsida, Poales, Bromeliaceae.
CCCUUUCUUCCUCAGCCGUAGCAGCCCCAAACCGACACACACACACAUCCACACACGCAUGGAUAGGAGAAGAGAACCCUCUCUUUCUCUCUCUAGAUUUCUCCCAAAAAAAGAGAGAAAUUGGUGGAGAAGUAAGCUUAAAGAUGGAUUUUCAUCUUCAUCAUCAACUUCCUCUCCAUUGGAGCUAUUUUGAGAGGUAAACGAAUGCGCUGGCGAAGUCGGUUCGGCGAUUCGUCGAGCCGUUGCGAAGUUAUUAAAGAAACGGACGUUAGGCUUCGUUUCCGCCUGGAGGGCCGAGGCGACGUCGUAAAAUCCUGGAAACGGAUUUGAAGCACCGUAACAGCAAAACGAAGACCCUUUUUGCCCGAGGUUGCAAAGCGAUGCGCGGUUGGUGCGCAACUACAAGUUCGGACGGAACCUGGCACCGGGUGCCGCGGGAGGCCGAUUGCAAGUGUCGACAAGCAAUCGGAACGCGAAUCGAGGUGGGUUGUGCUUACCGAAGCGACUAGGUCGCCUUUAUGUCUAAGAAAAUAUGAUUUCUUAUGAUGCAUAUAGAAAGCAUGUUAUGGUAAUGCUAGUAAUUGCAUGAUUACAUGAUGAGCAUUAUGGCAUAAUGGAUAUAUGCAUAUUAGCAUGUGAGGAAAGUGUGAGAUGAAUACAUGAUGAGCAUAAUGUAGAAAUGCAUGUUAACAUUAUGAAAUGCUGGAUGAGAGAUUCAUAUAGAAAUGAAUGAUAAUGAAUGCAAGCUGAUAAA